UACGGAGGGUGCAAGCGUUAUCCGGAUUCACUGGGUUUAAAGGGUGCGUAGGUGGGUAGGUAAGUCAGUGGUGAAAUCUCCGGGCUUAACCCGGAAACUGCCGUUGAUACUAUCUAUCUUGAAUAUCGUGGAGAUGAGCGGAAUAUGUCAUGUAGCGGUGAAAUGCUUAGAUAUGACAUAGAACACCGAUUGCGAAGGCAGCUCGUUACACGGUUAUUGACGCUGAGGCACGAAAGCGUGGGGAUCAAACAGG
Molecule: ribosomal RNA, 253 nt
Filed under: uncultured bacterium
Lineage: Bacteria
Description: partial 16S ribosomal RNA
Rfam family: Bacterial small subunit ribosomal RNA
Source: RNAcentral